GCCGGGGUGCCCGAGCGGACUAAGGGGCUGGCCUGGAGAGCCAGUGUGGGCAACCACGCGCGGGUUCAAAUCCCGCCCCCGGCG
RNAcentral lists this transfer RNA (84 nucleotides) under Stygiolobus azoricus. It matches the Rfam family "tRNA". Rfam says of the family: Transfer RNA (tRNA) molecules are approximately 80 nucleotides in length. Their secondary structure includes four short double-helical elements and three loops (D, anti-codon, and T loops). Further hydrogen bonds mediate the characteristic L-shaped molecular structure. tRNAs have two regions of fundamental functional importance: the anti-codon, which is responsible for specific mRNA codon recognition, and the 3' end, to which the tRNAs corresponding amino acid is attached (by aminoacyl-tRNA synthetases). tRNAs cope with the degeneracy of the genetic code in two manners: having more than one tRNA (with a specific anti-codon) for a particular amino acid; and 'wobble' base-pairing, i.e. permitting non-standard base-pairing at the 3rd anti-codon position. Lineage: Archaea; Thermoproteati; Thermoproteota; Thermoprotei; Sulfolobales; Sulfolobaceae. The record is from Rfam by way of RNAcentral. RNAcentral also lists the same sequence under 5 other names.